Molecule: transfer RNA, 74 nt
Filed under: Spirochaetaceae bacterium
Lineage: Bacteria; Pseudomonadati; Spirochaetota; Spirochaetia; Spirochaetales; Spirochaetaceae
Also listed under: 5 other names
Description: tRNA-Ala
Rfam family: tRNA
About the family: Transfer RNA (tRNA) molecules are approximately 80 nucleotides in length. Their secondary structure includes four short double-helical elements and three loops (D, anti-codon, and T loops). Further hydrogen bonds mediate the characteristic L-shaped molecular structure. tRNAs have two regions of fundamental functional importance: the anti-codon, which is responsible for specific mRNA codon recognition, and the 3' end, to which the tRNAs corresponding amino acid is attached (by aminoacyl-tRNA synthetases). tRNAs cope with the degeneracy of the genetic code in two manners: having more than one tRNA (with a specific anti-codon) for a particular amino acid; and 'wobble' base-pairing, i.e. permitting non-standard base-pairing at the 3rd anti-codon position.
Source: RNAcentral
GGGGGCGUAGCUCAGUUGGCUAGAGCGCGUGAAUGGCAUUCACGAGGUCGUGGGUUCGAUUCCCGUCGCCUCCA